This 421-nucleotide long non-coding RNA is filed under the name Malus domestica (apple). RNAcentral's name for it is "long non-coding RNA (MDOM_LNC014878)". Lineage: Eukaryota; Viridiplantae; Streptophyta; Magnoliopsida; Rosales; Rosaceae. The record is from RNAcentral.
ACUUUAUUUAAAGUGAGAGUACAUGUAUUUAAUUUCGUAAUAUAUUUAUCCUAAUAAUAGAAUCUUUAUUCAUCAAAUUGUUCACGUAUAAUGAUGUAAUUAUAAAACACACCAAAUAAAACUAAAAAACUCACCAAUUGGAAUUACAUAAACACACCAAAUAAAAUUACAUAAACAUACGAAAUAAUAAAAAACUCACUACAAAAAACACACCAAAUAAAAUUACAUAAACACACCAAAUACAAACAAACAUACUAAAUAAACUUAAGUAUCUUCAACUUGUUUCAAUGCCCACUGGUGCUCUAUCAAGUCAAUUUGCCGAUCAUUGUGCAUAGAUGACCUUUGAAGUGCAGUAUAUCGUUAAAUGACCCUUUCAUUGUAACGUCCAUCCCUUUCUAAUGGCUCGUGUUGCACGGGUUCU